UGACGCUUUUUUUGGGAGAAUUACAAAUAGUUCUAAUUUCAUCAGACAACCCUUUCAACAAUUAAGAUUUAAGAAGCUUUUAAUUAAAAAGGAGUUAGAUUAAAACAUGUUUAAGGUAAAAUUAUAGCAGGUGGUCAUUAAGAAACGCUUUGAAACACAAUGACAAAUUGAAAAUCAUCAACAAUUACCAAAAACAUGUAACCCCAACGAAUAAAUAAAUAUAAAAAUUUGACCUUCGUAAUGUGACCUACCGUUUUUCGCUACUAUUUUUGCACAAAAAAGUAAAAUGUUAUUUAAAAAAAAGUGAAAAAUGCAGUUGAUAAAGAUAGGAUAGCAAAAUCUUAUACACUU
This 351-nucleotide long non-coding RNA is filed under the name Mytilus galloprovincialis (Mediterranean mussel). The record is from RNAcentral. Lineage: Eukaryota; Metazoa; Mollusca; Bivalvia; Mytilida; Mytilidae.